RNAcentral lists this ribosomal RNA (326 nucleotides) under uncultured bacterium. Its description in RNAcentral is "bacterial SSU rRNA". It matches the Rfam family "Bacterial small subunit ribosomal RNA", at positions 28 to 346 of the family's 1533-position model. The record is from RNAcentral.
GACGAACGCUGGCGGCGUGCUUAACACAUGCAAGUCGAGCGGUAAGGCCCUUUCGGGGUACGACGAGCGGCGAACGGGUAGGAGUAACAACGUGGGUGGACCUCGCCCUCCAGCUCUGGGGAUAAGCCUGGGAAACGUGGGUCUAAUACUGGAUAUGACUCCACGGUGCAUGUCGUGGGGUGGAAAGCCUUGUGCGGCUGAGGAGUGGGCCCGCGGCCUAUCAGCUUGUUGGUGGGGUGAGGCCUACCAAGGCGACGACGGGUAGCCGGCCUGAGAGGGCGACCGGCCGACACUGGGACUGAGACACGGCCCAGACUCCUACGGGA